UAGGGAAUCUUCGGCAAUGGGGGCAACCCUGACCGAGCAACGCCGCGUGAGUGAAGAAGGUUUUCGGAUCGUAAAGCUCUGUUGUAAGUCAAGAACGGGUGUGAGAGUGGAAAGUUCACACUGUGACGGUAGCUUACCAGAAAGGGACGGCUAACUACGUGCCAGCAGCCGCGGUAAUACGUAGGUCCCGAGCGUUGUCCGGAUUUAUUGGGCGUAAAGCGAGCGCAGGCGGUUUGAUAAGUCUGAAGUUAAAGGCUGUGGCUCAACCAUAGUUCGCUUUGGAAACUGUCAAACUUGAGUGCAGAAGGGGAGAGUGGAAUUCCAUGUGUAGCGGUGAAAUGCGUAGAUAUAUGGAGGAACACCGGUGGCGAAAGCGGCUCUCUGGUCUGUAACUGACGCUGAGGCUCGAAAGCGUGGGGAGCGAACAGG
RNAcentral lists this ribosomal RNA (429 nucleotides) under Streptococcus sp. Its description in RNAcentral is "bacterial SSU rRNA". It matches the Rfam family "Bacterial small subunit ribosomal RNA", at positions 355 to 776 of the family's 1533-position model. RNAcentral also lists the same sequence under 5 other names. The record is from RNAcentral. Lineage: Bacteria; Bacillati; Bacillota; Bacilli; Lactobacillales; Streptococcaceae.